Molecule: ribosomal RNA, 117 nt
Filed under: Pseudomonadota bacterium
Lineage: Bacteria; Pseudomonadati; Pseudomonadota
Description: partial 16S ribosomal RNA
Rfam family: Bacterial small subunit ribosomal RNA
Source: RNAcentral
CAACCCGAAGACGGCCCGCCAACCGCAAGGAGGCAGCCGGCCACGGUUGGGUCAGUGACUGGGGUGAAGUCGUAACAAGGUAGCCGUAGGGGAACCUGCGGCUGGAUCACCUCCUUU